This 629-nucleotide ribosomal RNA is filed under the name Shewanella putrefaciens. RNAcentral describes it as "bacterial SSU rRNA". It matches the Rfam family "Bacterial small subunit ribosomal RNA", at positions 45 to 663 of the family's 1533-position model. Lineage: Bacteria; Pseudomonadati; Pseudomonadota; Gammaproteobacteria; Alteromonadales; Shewanellaceae. The record is from RNAcentral.
GGCCUAACACAUGCAAGUCGAGCGGCAGCACAAGGGAGUUUACUCAUGAGGUGGCGAGCGGCGGACGGGUGAGUAAUGCCUAGGGAUCUGCCCAGUCGAGGGGGAUAACAGUUGGAAACGACUGCUAAUACCGCAUACGCCCUACGGGGGAAAGAGGGGGACCUUCGGGCCUCUCGCGAUUGGAUGAACCUAGGUGGGAUUAGCUAGUUGGUGAGGUAAUGGCUCACCAAGGCGACGAUCCCUAGCUGUUCUGAGAGGAUGAUCAGCCACACUGGGACUGAGACACGGCCCAGACUCCUACGGGAGGCAGCAGUGGGGAAUAUUGCACAAUGGGGGAAACCCUGAUGCAGCCAUGCCGCGUGUGUGAAGAAGGCCUUCGGGUUGUAAAGCACUUUCAGUAGGGAGGAAAGGGUGAGUCUUAAUACGGCUCAUCUGUGACGUUACCUACAGAAGAAGGACCGGCUAACUCCGUGCCAGCAGCCGCGGUAAUACGGAGGGUCCGAGCGUUAAUCGGAAUUACUGGGCGUAAAGCGUGCGCAGGCGGUUUGUUAAGCGAGAUGUGAAAGCCCUGGGCUCAACCUAGGAAUAGCAUUUCGAACUGGCGAACUAGAGUCUUGUAGAGGGGGGUA